Molecule: ribosomal RNA, 585 nt
Filed under: Triticum aestivum (bread wheat)
Lineage: Eukaryota; Viridiplantae; Streptophyta; Magnoliopsida; Poales; Poaceae
Description: partial small subunit ribosomal RNA
Source: RNAcentral
AUGGCCAAGAGUGGGCGAGUGGUGCUCUUAAAGGCAAAUCUAAUACCUCUAAUGAUCUACAUGAUGACCGUGCACAAACUACCGGCUUGGGUGCUAAAACGCAUGGUACAAAUCUGCCGGGCAUGGCUGUGGAAUGGAGAUAGCACUUGUAACGGCGGCCAAUGCAGAGUGGCAUGGAGCCAAAUAUGCAGGCCUAAGCACCUCGGCGGCCUAGGAGUCGUGGAUUUUGCGAAGUUCGGCGCCGCGCUGCGUCUUCGAUGGUUGUGGCUUGCGUGGCGGGAUCCGGAACGGCCUUGGGCUCAAUCUCCGUUACCUUGUGAUUCGGCCGACCGCAUGCUGUUUUGUAUGGCCACUGACAUCAAAAUUGGCGAUGGAAGGCUGGCGAGGUUCUGGCACGACAGAUGGUUGAAUGGUCAGUGCCCCAAAGUCAUUGCUCCGGGCCUCUUCAAGAUCUCUGCAAGGAAAAAACAGAUCGGUUCACGAGGCCAUCCAGGGCGAAACAUGGCUGUCAGACCUGUCCCGUGGUCUCGAUGUGCAUCUGAUCGCGAAGCUAACAGGGCUGGCUUCGCUCCUGGAGAACGUUAA